This is a non-coding RNA of Amphimedon queenslandica, 100 nucleotides long. NCBI's taxonomy places the organism in Eukaryota, Metazoa, Porifera, Demospongiae, Haplosclerida, Niphatidae. The record is from Rfam.
AUGGCCGAUUCCAAACUGCCCGAUGCCCAAGCGGGUUAUGAGAAGGGCUAUACCACCGCCCUUGCCGGGCAUUGCGGGGCCAAUCUGGUCUACGAAUCGG